UCCGGCUUAUCACCGGCGGUUUCUUUAGAGUGCCCAACUAAAUGAUGGCAACUAAAGACGAGGGUUGCGCUCGUUGCGGGACUUAACCCAACAUCUCACGGCACGAGCUGACGACAGCCAUGCAGCACCUGAACCGGCAGUCCCCGAAGGGAAAAUCCUAUCUCUAGGACAGUCCGCCGUUGUCUAGCCCAGGUAAGGUUCUUCGCGUUGCGUCGAAUUGAACCACAUGCUCCACCGCUUGUGCGGGCCCCCGUCAAUUCCUUUGAGUUUUAGCCUUGCGGCCGUACUCCCUAGGCGGGGAACUUAAUGCGUUAGCUGCGGCACCGACGACGUGGAAUGUCGCCAACACCUAGUUCCCACCGUUUACGGCGUGGACUAC
This 379-nucleotide unclassified non-coding RNA is filed under the name uncultured bacterium. RNAcentral's name for it is "contains 16S-23S intergenic spacer region". The record is from RNAcentral.